GCCCACCUUCUCCGGCAUCCAAGUGCUGACGAUGAUUGGUCUCAAUAAUUCAUGAUCAUGUUCCAAGCAUGGACCGUGCUCGCUAAAUAGUCCCAUCGAUAUCCCUGGGAAGCCUAUUAUAUUGUAUGCCAUAAAUGUUGAUUUCGCAACACGAUAAAAUGUGAAAAAAGACAAAAAACUUAAAAAAGAUAAUGAUAAUAAAAAGUUCGUACUUACCAACGGCUGGACUGGGUGGUUGGUUGGAUUUAGGGGAUUCGUCUUCCUCGUUAAGAGUCAUCACCACAGGUGGCAGGACUACUAUUUGAUUCCAUGGCACGAACACCGUCCUCGUGAGGGGUUUGAAAGGGCUACGUUGAAACUGAAGUGUUACCGCACCACCACCAUUCACUAACACAUCGAACCUGGUCAAAAUACGAAUGUAUUUCAAAUUUUACUUUUCAAUAUUACAUUAGGUUAUAAUAA
This is a long non-coding RNA of Apis florea (little honeybee), 462 nucleotides long. RefSeq lists it as uncharacterized. Lineage: Eukaryota; Metazoa; Arthropoda; Insecta; Hymenoptera; Apidae. The record is from RefSeq and is a predicted model, not a curated record.